AUUGGGUGUAAAGCGCGCGUAGGUGGUUCAGUAAGUUAGGAGUGAAAGCCCCGGGCUUAACCUGGGAAUUGCUUCUAAAACUGCUGAGCUAGAGUACGGUAGAGGGUGGUGGAAUUUCCUGUGUAGCGGUGAAAUGCGUAGAUAUAGGAAGGAACAUCAGUGGCGAAGGCGACCACCUGGACUGAUACUGACACUGAGGUGCGAAAGCGUGGGGAGCAAACAGGAUUAGAUACCCCAGUA
This 240-nucleotide ribosomal RNA is filed under the name uncultured Pseudomonas sp. RNAcentral's name for it is "partial 16S ribosomal RNA". It matches the Rfam family "Bacterial small subunit ribosomal RNA", at positions 553 to 792 of the family's 1533-position model. The record is from RNAcentral. Lineage: Bacteria; Pseudomonadati; Pseudomonadota; Gammaproteobacteria; Pseudomonadales; Pseudomonadaceae.